RNAcentral lists this non-coding RNA (103 nucleotides) under Veillonella montpellierensis. RNAcentral's name for it is "SAM-I sequence". It matches the Rfam family "SAM riboswitch aptamer (S box leader)". From Rfam's summary of the family: The SAM riboswitch is found upstream of a number of genes which code for proteins involved in methionine or cysteine biosynthesis in Gram-positive bacteria. Lineage: Bacteria; Bacillati; Bacillota; Negativicutes; Veillonellales; Veillonellaceae. RNAcentral also lists the same sequence under 1 other name. The record is from RNAcentral.
AACUCAUCGAGAGUAGUGGAGGGAUAGGCCCUGUGAAGCUACAGCAACCUUUCAAUGUUGAAAACGGUGCUAAAUCCGACAGCGAGAUGCUGACAGAUGGGGA